CCUACGGGUGGCAGCAGUGGGGAAUAUUGGGCAAUGGGCGCAAGCCUGACCCAGCAACGCCGCGUGAAGGAAGAAGGCUUUCUGGUUGUAAACUUCUUUUCUCAGGGACGAAGCAAGUGACGGUACCUGAGGAAUAAGCCACGGCUACCUACGUGCCAGCAGCCGCGGUAAUACGUAGGUGGCAAGCGUUAUCCGGAUUUACUGGGUGUAAAGGGCGUGUAGGCGGGGACGGAAGUCAGAUGUGAAAACCACGGGCUCAACCUGGGGCCUGCAUUUGAAACUGUGUUUCUUGAGUACUGGAGAGGCAGGCGGAAUUAGUAGUGUAGCGGUGAAAUGCGUAGAUAUUAGGAGGAACACCAGUGGCGAAGGCAGUCUGCUGGACAGCAACUGACGCUGAGGCGCGAAAGCGUGGGGAGCAAACAGGAUUAGAUACCCGUGUAGUC
Molecule: ribosomal RNA, 443 nt
Filed under: uncultured bacterium
Lineage: Bacteria
Description: partial 16S ribosomal RNA
Rfam family: Bacterial small subunit ribosomal RNA
Source: RNAcentral